This 1334-nucleotide long non-coding RNA is filed under the name Gallus gallus (chicken). RNAcentral's name for it is "lncRNA (ENSGALG00010019480.1)". The record is from RNAcentral. Lineage: Eukaryota; Metazoa; Chordata; Aves; Galliformes; Phasianidae.
CAAAGAGACGCAGCGUUCCGGGUCGUGCCAGAGAUGGGACCGUCACAGUGCUGAAACAUCACCUAUCACUAAAGGAAACACCUGGGAGCGCAUUCACAACACCUGCGUGAGCUGUAACCGCUCGGCAUAUUUCGCUUUCUCAUCCUUCAGUUGCCACUGGAACAGCGACCCUCCACCCACAGCCGGCACACUUGUUCGCUCCCCAGAGCCGCUUCACAGUGGCGGAAGGGACAGCUGUCUCCCUGCACGCAAAAGGAAACCACACGGGAAAAUAAGAGUACGGCCUGAAACGUGCCCAUGCUAUCAGCCCAGCUUGUUAGCAGCGAGCGCAGAAUCCCACCGGUUGUGAAGGUAACGCAUCAGUGGUAGGUCUCCCCCUGCUCCACCCCUUUCUCUUACGAAUGAGGACAAGGAAGAAAAUGCAGGCAAAGGAAACCCAACCAUACCUUCGUGCAGGUGGAGUAAAAAUAGAAGUAGCAGUCGACUCCUCGCUGAGACAUGAUGAAAUUCUCAGAGCAAGCUCGGCUUCAGAGGAGUUCCCUGCUCUUGGAAAGAGCCGGACGCCCUCCUUCUUGGACUGCUUGGAUCCGCAAAAUCGCCUUUCCGACCGGGACCCUGAGGAAAGGGUCAAGAACCGGAAAAGAAUGAGGAAUAAGCAUUUCCCCAGCUUUCCUUUUAUGCAAUUUAGACUCUCGAGGAGGGCAGCGUCUCGGAAGCAGCUGGUUGAAGAACUGUGCCAACUCUAGAUCCAACUUGCGUCUAACUGCCACGACCUCUCCCAGCAAGUACUGUCCUCCAUCUCACCUACAGUUACGUAACUUGCAGCACACAUUUUGCGUUCCUGUCAUGAGAAUGAAUCCAUCUUCUCCCCUUGCUGCAGCUGCAAGGGAUGCACUGGUACGACUCACGUGUUUGACGAACCUACGGUUGUGGCUUACCCAGGCACAGCUGCAGGCCUUCUCCCUUCCAGCUAACACACCAGCCCGAUGGCUGAGCAACACCGUCAGCGAGAGCGGGCAGCACCCGUCAGCCACCACCACUCUCACUGCCAGCCGGGACGAGGGCUGACGCAGCGUGUCCGCACUCCUGCGCAGCGCUCACGGCUGUGGCACUCACUGGUGGCAGCCACGGCCCGAAAGACAGUGCUUGUGAGGUCACUGUGCUUGUGAUGUCACCGGACAGUCCAUGCCCCAGCUGAGCACUUGGCUCUCCACCGUGACUCGAGUGGGGUUUUGUUAAAAAUAUGCUGGAUACGGCACAGCCAGCCAUCGGUGGGUCAAUAAAGCACAAGUUGCACUCUGUGAAGUCUGUGCUCUUCUUCCUUUGGAAUGUCU